This 458-nucleotide ribosomal RNA is filed under the name uncultured Prochlorococcus sp. RNAcentral describes it as "bacterial SSU rRNA". It matches the Rfam family "Bacterial small subunit ribosomal RNA", at positions 43 to 509 of the family's 1533-position model. Lineage: Bacteria; Bacillati; Cyanobacteriota; Cyanophyceae; Synechococcales; Prochlorococcaceae. The record is from RNAcentral.
UGCGCCUUAUGCAUGCAAGUCGAGCGAAGCUUUUCAGUAGUUUACUACAGAAAAUGACUGAGCGGCGAACGGGUGAGUAACGCGUGAGCAAUCUACCUUAGUUACAGGGAUAGCCCGAGGAAACUCGGAUUAAUACCUGAUAUUCUUUAUAUUUCGCAUGAAAUUAAAAGGAAAGGUCAGCCGAACUAAGAUGAGCUCGCGUUCUAUCAGCUAGUUGGUGAGGUAAUGGCUCACCAAGGCUUCGAUCAGUAGCUGGUCUGAGAGGAUGAUCAGCCACACUGGGACUGAGACACGGCCCAGACUCCUACGGGAGGCAGCAGUGGGGAAUUUUCCGCAAUGGGCGAAAGCCUGACGGAGCAACGCCGCGUGAGAGACGAAGGCCUCUGGGCUGUAAACCUCUUUUCUCAAGGAAGAAGAUAUGACGGUACUGAGGAAUAAGCCACGGCUAAUUCCGUGCC